UUAAGCGACUAAGCGUACACGGUGGAUGCCCUGGCAGUCAGAGGCGAUGAAGGACGUGCUAAUCUGCGAUAAGCGUCGGUGAGGUGAUAUGAACCGUUAUAACCGGCGAUUUCCGAAUGGGGAAACCCAGUGUGUUUCGACACACUAUCAUUAACUGAAUCCAUAGGUUAAUGAGGCGAACCGGGGGAACUGAAACAUCUAAGUACCCCGAGGAAAAGAAAUCAACCGAGAUUCCCCCAGUAGCGGCGAGCGAACGGGGAGGAGCCCAGAGCCUGAAUCAGUGUGUGUGUUAGUGGAAGCGUCUGGAAAGGCGCGCGAUACAGGGUGACAGCCCCGUACACAAAAAUGCACAUAUUGUGAGCUCGAUGAGUAGGGCGGGACACGUGGUAUCCUGUCUGAAUAUGGGGGGACCAUCCUCCAAGGCUAAAUACUCCUGACUGACCGAUAGUGAACCAGUACCGUGAGGGAAAGGCGAAAAGAACCCCGGCGAGGGGAGUGAAAAAGAACCUGAAACCGUGUACGUACAAGCAGUGGGAGCCUCUUAAUGGGGUGACUGCGUACCUUUUGUAUAAUGGGUCAGCGACUUAUAUUCUGUAGCAAGGUUAACCGAAUAGGGGAGCCGAAGGGAAACCGAGUCUUAACUGGGCGUUAAGUUGCAGGGUAUAGACCCGAAACCCGGUGAUCUAGCCAUGGGCAGGUUGAAGGUUGGGUAACACUAACUGGAGGACCGAACCGACUAAUGUUGAAAAAUUAGCGGAUGACUUGUGGCUGGGGGUGAAAGGCCAAUCAAACCGGGAGAUAGCUGGUUCUCCCCGAAAGCUAUUUAGGUAGCGCCUCGUGAAUUCAUCUCCGGGGGUAGAGCACUGUUUCGGCAAGGGGGUCAUCCCGACUUACCAACCCGAUGCAAACUGCGAAUACCGGAGAAUGUUAUCACGGGAGACACACGGCGGGUGCUAACGUCCGUCGUGAAGAGGGAAACAACCCAGACCGCCAGCUAAGGUCCCAAAGUCAUGGUUAAGUGGGAAACGAUGUGGGAAGGCCCAGACAGCCAGGAUGUUGGCUUAGAAGCAGCCAUCAUUUAAAGAAAGCGUAAUAGCUCACUGGUCGAGUCGGCCUGCGCGGAAGAUGUAACGGGGCUAAACCAUGCACCGAAGCUGCGGCAGCGACACUAUGUGUUGUUGGGUAGGGGAGCGUUCUGUAAGCCUGUGAAGGUGGCCUGUGAGGGUUGCUGGAGGUAUCAGAAGUGCGAAUGCUGACAUAAGUAACGAUAAAGCGGGUGAAAAGCCCGCUCGCCGGAAGACCAAGGGUUCCUGUCCAACGUUAAUCGGGGCAGGGUGAGUCGACCCCUAAGGCGAGGCCGAAAGGCGUAGUCGAUGGGAAACAGGUUAAUAUUCCUGUACUUGGUGUUACUGCGAAGGGGGGACGGAGAAGGCUAUGUUGGCCGGGCGACGGUUGUCCCGGUUUAAGCGUGUAGGCUGGUUUUCCAGGCAAAUCCGGAAAACCAAGGCUGAGGCGUGAUGACGAGGCACUACGGUGCUGAAGCGACAAAUGCCCUGCUUCCAGGAAAAGCCUCUAAGCAUCAGGUAACAUCAAAUCGUACCCCAAACCGACACAGGUGGUCAGGUAGAGAAUACCAAGGCGCUUGAGAGAACUCGGGUGAAGGAACUAGGCAAAAUGGUGCCGUAACUUCGGGAGAAGGCACGCUGAUAUGUAGGUGAAGCGACUUGCUCGUGGAGCUGAAAUCAGUCGAAGAUACCAGCUGGCUGCAACUGUUUAUUAAAAACACAGCACUGUGCAAACACGAAAGUGGACGUAUACGGUGUGACGCCUGCCCGGUGCCGGAAGGUUAAUUGAUGGGGUUAGCGGCAACGCGAAGCUCUUGAUCGAAGCCCCGGUAAACGGCGGCCGUAACUAUAACGGUCCUAAGGUAGCGAAAUUCCUUGUCGGGUAAGUUCCGACCUGCACGAAUGGCGUAAUGAUGGCCAGGCUGUCUCCACCCGAGACUCAGUGAAAUUGAACUCGCUGUGAAGAUGCAGUGUACCCGCGGCAAGACGGAAAGACCCCGUGAACCUUUACUAUAGCUUGACACUGAACAUUGAGCCUUGAUGUGUAGGAUAGGUGGGAGGCUUUGAAGUGUGGACGCCAGUCUGCAUGGAGCCGACCUUGAAAUACCACCCUUUAAUGUUUGAUGUUCUAACGUUGGCCCGUAAUCCGGGUUGCGGACAGUGUCUGGUGGGUAGUUUGACUGGGGCGGUCUCCUCCUAAAGAGUAACGGAGGAGCACGAAGGUUGGCUAAUCCUGGUCGGACAUCAGGAGGUUAGUGCAAUGGCAUAAGCCAGCUUGACUGCGAGCGUGACGGCGCGAGCAGGUGCGAAAGCAGGUCAUAGUGAUCCGGUGGUUCUGAAUGGAAGGGCCAUCGCUCAACGGAUAAAAGGUACUCCGGGGAUAACAGGCUGAUACCGCCCAAGAGUUCAUAUCGACGGCGGUGUUUGGCACCUCGAUGUCGGCUCAUCACAUCCUGGGGCUGAAGUAGGUCCCAAGGGUAUGGCUGUUCGCCAUUUAAAGUGGUACGCGAGCUGGGUUUAGAACGUCGUGAGACAGUUCGGUCCCUAUCUGCCGUGGGCGCUGGAGAACUGAGGGGGGCUGCUCCUAGUACGAGAGGACCGGAGUGGACGCAUCACUGGUGUUCGGGUUGUCAUGCCAAUGGCACUGCCCGGUAGCUAAAUGCGGAAGAGAUAAGUGCUGAAAGCAUCUAAGCACGAAACUUGCCCCGAGAUGAGUUCUCCCUGACUCCUUGAGGGUCCUGAAGGAACGUUGAAGACGACGACGUUGAUAGGCCGGGUGUGUAAGCGCAGCGAUGCGUUGAGCUAACCGGUACUAAUGAACCGUGAGGCUUAACCUU
Molecule: ribosomal RNA, 2902 nt
Filed under: Escherichia coli
Lineage: Bacteria; Pseudomonadati; Pseudomonadota; Gammaproteobacteria; Enterobacterales; Enterobacteriaceae
Also listed under: 2 other names
Description: bacterial LSU rRNA
Rfam family: Bacterial large subunit ribosomal RNA
Source: RNAcentral